AACGAACGCUGGCGGCAUGCCUAACACAUGCAAGUCGAACGAGACCUUCGGGUCUAGUGGCGCACGGGUGCGUAACGCGUGGGAACCUGCCCUUAGGUUCGGAAUAACUCCCCGAAAGGGGUGCUAAUACCGGAUAAUGUCUUCGGACCAAAGAUUUAUCGCCUUUGGAUGGGCCCGCGUUGGAUUAGCUAGUUGGUAGGGUAAAAGCCUACCAAGGCGACGAUCCAUAGCUGGUCUGAGAGGAUGAUCAGCCACACUGGGACUGAGACACGGCCCAGACGCCUACGGGAGGAAGCAGUGGGAAUAUUGGACAAUGGGCGAAAGCCUGAUCCAGCAAUGCCGCGUGAGUGAUGAAGGCCUUAGGGUUGUAAAGCUCUUUUACCCGGGAUGAUAAUGACAGUACCGGGAGAAUAAGCUCCGGCUAACUCCGUG
This 432-nucleotide ribosomal RNA is filed under the name uncultured bacterium. Its description in RNAcentral is "partial 16S ribosomal RNA". It matches the Rfam family "Bacterial small subunit ribosomal RNA", at positions 29 to 507 of the family's 1533-position model. The record is from RNAcentral.